GUUUUCUUCAAGCGAGAAUGGAAGAAGAACUGGCCUUUUGUCGUUGGAUUCGCUAUCACCGGAACUAUAAUCACCAAGUUUUCCCUUGGUUUAACUGAGGAGGAUGCUAAAAACUCGAAAUUCGUUCAAGCUCACAAGAGGUGAUCUCUGAAGGGAAGAAUGACCUUGGUUAUGCAAGCUGUUAUUGAUGUAACAAGAGAUCUUUGCUUGCUUUAGUUUUUCAAAUUGAAAUAACCGAAGGGAGAUAAUUUACAUACUCUCUUCAUGUUCCAUUUUAUCAAAUUUGAUUUUACUUAAAUGUGACUGAUAAAUUCAUAUACUCUGCAGUUCCGAAUGAUUAGAUUCGUGUGUUUUAUCAUGAGUUUUCUUUUA
This is an RNA transcript of Vicia villosa (hairy vetch), 372 nucleotides long. It is a transcript of the gene named ATP synthase small subunit 6-A, mitochondrial-like, with no coding region annotated. NCBI's taxonomy places the organism in Eukaryota, Viridiplantae, Streptophyta, Magnoliopsida, Fabales, Fabaceae. The transcript has 3 exons. The record is from RefSeq and is a predicted model, not a curated record.